RNAcentral lists this ribosomal RNA (497 nucleotides) under uncultured bacterium. RNAcentral's name for it is "partial 16S ribosomal RNA". It matches the Rfam family "Bacterial small subunit ribosomal RNA", at positions 28 to 507 of the family's 1533-position model. The record is from RNAcentral.
GACGAACGCUGGCGGCGUGCCUAAUACAUGCAAGUAGAACGCUGAAGAGAGGAGCUUGCUCUUCUUGGAUGAGUUGCGAACGGGUGAGUAACGCGUAGGUAACCUGCCUUGUAGCGGGGGAUAACUAUUGGAAACGAUAGCUAAUACCGCAUAACAAUGGAUGACCCAUGUCAUUUAUUUGAAAGGGGCAAAUGCUCCACUACAAGAUGGACCUGCGUUGUAUUAGCUAGUAGGUGAGGUAACGGCUCACCUAGGCGACGAUACAUAGCCGACCUGAGAGGGUGAUCGGCCACACUGGGACUGAGACACGGCCCAGACUCCUACGGGAGGCAGCAGUAGGGAAUCUUCGGCAAUGGGGACAACCCUGACCGAGCAACGCCGCGUGAGUGAAGAAGGUUUUCGGAUCGUAAAGCUCUGUUGUAAGUCAAGAACGAGUGUGAGAGUGGAAAGUUCACACUGUGACGGUAGCUUACCAGAAAGGGACGGCUAACUACGUG